This 646-nucleotide ribosomal RNA is filed under the name Bacillus subtilis. RNAcentral's name for it is "bacterial SSU rRNA". It matches the Rfam family "Bacterial small subunit ribosomal RNA", at positions 595 to 1240 of the family's 1533-position model. Lineage: Bacteria; Bacillati; Bacillota; Bacilli; Caryophanales; Bacillaceae. The record is from RNAcentral.
GAAAAGCCCCCGGCUCAACCGGGGAGGGUCAUUGGAAACUGGGGAACUUUGAGUGCAGAAGAGGAGAGUGGAAUUCCACGUGUAGCGGUGAAAUGCGUAGAGAUGUGGAGGAACACCAGUGGCGAAGGCGACUCUCUGGUCUGUAACUGACGCUGAGGAGCGAAAGCGUGGGGAGCGAACAGGAUUAGAUACCCUGGUAGUCCACGCCGUAAACGAUGAGUGCUAAGUGUUAGGGGGUUUCCGCCCCUUAGUGCUGCAGCUAACGCAUUAAGCACUCCGCCUGGGGAGUACGGUCGCAAGACUGAAACUCAAAGGAAUUGACGGGGGCCCGCACAAGCGGUGGAGCAUGUGGUUUAAUUCGAAGCAACGCGAAGAACCUUACCAGGUCUUGACAUCCUCUGACAAUCCUAGAGAUAGGACGUCCCCUUCGGGGGCAGAGUGACAGGUGGUGCAUGGUUGUCGUCAGCUCGUGUCGUGAGAUGUUGGGUUAAGUCCCGCAACGAGCGCAACCCUUGAUCUUAGUUGCCAGCAUUCAGUUGGGCACUCUAAGGUGACUGCCGGUGACAAACCGGAGGAAGGUGGGGAUGACGUCAAAUCAUCAUGCCCCUUAUGACCUGGGCUACACACGUGCUACAAUGGACAGAAC